Molecule: ribosomal RNA, 1015 nt
Filed under: Lecanicillium sp. KACC 44066
Lineage: Eukaryota; Fungi; Ascomycota; Sordariomycetes; Hypocreales; Cordycipitaceae
Also listed under: 2 other names
Description: SSU rRNA
Rfam family: Eukaryotic small subunit ribosomal RNA
Source: RNAcentral
CAGCGAAACUGCGAAUGGCUCAUUAUAUAAGUUAUCGUUUAUUUGAUAGUACCUUACUACUUGGAUAACCGUGGUAAUUCUAGAGCUAAUACAUGCUAAAAAUCCCGACUUCGGAAGGGAUGUAUUUAUUAGAUUAAAAACCAAUGCCCUUUGGGCUCCUUGGUGAUUCAUAAUAACUUUUCGAAUCGCAUGGCCUUGCGCCGGCGAUGGUUCAUUCAAAUUUCUUCCCUAUCAACUUUCGAUGUUUGGGUAUUGGCCAAACAUGGUCGCAACGGGUAACGGAGGGUUAGGGCUCGACCCCGGAGAAGGAGCCUGAGAAACGGCUACUACAUCCAAGGAAGGCAGCAGGCGCGCAAAUUACCCAAUCCCGAUUCGGGGAGGUAGUGACAAUAAAUACUGAUACAGGGCUCUUUUGGGUCUUGUAAUUGGAAUGAGUACAAUUUAAAUCCCUUAACGAGGAACAAUUGGAGGGCAAGUCUGGUGCCAGCAGCCGCGGUAAUUCCAGCUCCAAUAGCGUAUAUUAAAGUUGUUGUGGUUAAAAAGCUCGUAGUUGAACCUUGGGCCUGGCUGGCCGGUCCGCCUCACCGCGUGUACUGGUCCGGCCGGGCCUUUCCCUCUGUGGAACCUCAUGCCCUUCACUGGGUGUGGCGGGGAAACAGGACUUUUACUUUGAAAAAAUUAGAGUGCUCCAGGCAGGCCUAUGCUCGAAUACAUUAGCAUGGAAUAAUGAAAUAGGACGUGUGGUUCUAUUUUGUUGGUUUCUAGGACCGCCGUAAUGAUUAAUAGGGACAGUCGGGGGCAUCAGUAUUCAAUUGUCAGAGGUGAAAUUCUUGGAUUUAUUGAAGACUAACUACUGCGAAAGCAUUUGCCAAGGAUGUUUUCAUUAAUCAGGAACGAAAGUUAGGGGAUCGAAGACGAUCAGAUACCGUCGUAGUCUUAACCAUAAACUAUGCCGACUAGGGAUCGGACGAUGUUAUUUUUUGACGCGUUCGGCACCUUACGAGAAAUCAAAGUG